UACGUAUGGUGCAAGCGUUAUCCGGAUUUACUGGGUGUAAAGGGAGCGUAGGUGGUUUGAUAAGUCAGAUGUGAAAACCCGGGGCUCAACCCCGGGACUGCAUUUGAAACUAUUGAACUGGAGUGCAGGAGAGGUAAGUGGAAUUCCUAGUGUAGCGGUGAAAUGCGUAGAUAUUAGGAGGAACACCAGUGGCGAAGGCGGCUUACUGGACUGUAACUGACACUGAGGCUCGAAAGCGUGGGGAGCAAACAGG
RNAcentral lists this ribosomal RNA (253 nucleotides) under uncultured prokaryote. RNAcentral describes it as "partial 16S ribosomal RNA". It matches the Rfam family "Bacterial small subunit ribosomal RNA", at positions 524 to 776 of the family's 1533-position model. The record is from RNAcentral.